GAUACAGGGUGACAGCCCCGUACACAAAAAUGCACAUAUUGUGAGCUCGAUGAGUAGGGCGGGACACGUGGUAUCCUGUCUGAAUAUGGGGGGCCCAUCCUCCAAGGCUAAAUACUCCUGACUGACCGAUAGUGAACCAGUACCGUGAGGGAAAGGCGAAAAGAACCCCGGCGAGGGGAGUGAAAAAGAACCUGAAACCGUGUACGUACAAGCAGUGGGAGCACGCUUAGGCGUGUGACUGCGUACCUUUUGUAUAAUGGGUCAGCGACUUAUAUUCUGUAGCAAGGUUAACCGAAUAGGGGAGCCGAAGGGAAACCGAGUCUUAACUGGGCGUUAAGUUGCAGGGUAUAGACCCGAAACCCGGUGAUCUAGCCAUGGGCAGGUUGAAGGUUGGGUAACACUAACUGGAGGACCGAACCGACUAAUGUUGAAAAAUUAGCGGAUGACUUGUGGCUGGGGGUGAAAGGCCAAUCAAACCGGGAGAUAGCUGGUUCUCCCCGAAAGCUAUUUAGGUAGCGCCUCGUGAAUUCAUCUCCGGGGGUAGAGCACUGUUUCGGCAAGGGGGUCAUCCCGACUUACCAACCCGAUGCAAACUGCGAAUACCGGAGAAUGUUAUCACGGGAGACACACGGCGGGUGCUAACGUCCGUCGUGAAGAGGGAAACAACCCAGACCGCCAGCUAAGGUCCCAAAGUCAUGGUUAAGUGGGAAACGAUGUGGGAAGGCCCAGACAGCCAGGAUGUUGGCUUAGAAGCAGCCAUCAUUUAAAGAAAGCGUAAUAGCUCACUGGUCGAGUCGGCCUGCGCGGAAGAUGUAACGGGGCUAAACCAUGCACCGAAGCUGCGGCAGCGACGCUUAUGCGUUGUUGGGUAGGGGAGCGUUCUGUAAGCCUGCGAAGGUGUGCUGUGAGGCAUGCUGGAGGUAUCAGAAGUGCGAAUGCUGACAUAAGUAACGAUAAAGCGGGUGAAAAGCCCGCUCGCCGGAAGACCAAGGGUUCCUGUCCAACGUUAAUCGGGGCAGGGUGAGUCGACCCCUAAGGCGAGGCCGAAAGGCGUAGUCGAUGGGAAACAGGUUAAUAUUCCUGUACUUGGUGUUACUGCGAAGGGGGGACGGAGAAGGCUAUGUUGGCCGGGCGACGGUUGUCCCGGUUUAAGCGUGUAGGCUGGUUUUCCAGGCAAAUCCGGAAAAUCAAGGCUGAGGCGUGAUGACGAGGCACUACGGUGCUGAAGCAACAAAUGCCCUGCUUCCAGGAAAAGCCUCUAAGCAUCAGGUAACAUCAAAUCGUACCCCAAACCGACACAGGUGGUCAGGUAGAGAAUACCAAGGCGCUUGAGAGAACUCGGGUGAAGGAACUAGGCAAAAUGGUGCCGUAACUUCGGGAGAAGGCACGCUGAUAUGUAGGUGAAGUCCCUUGCGGAUGGAGCUGAAAUCAGUCGAAGAUACCAGCUGGCUGCAACUGUUUAUUAAAAACACAGCACUGUGCAAACACGAAAGUGGACGUAUACGGUGUGACGCCUGCCCGGUGCCGGAAGGUUAAUUGAUGGGGUCAGCGCAAGCGAAGCUCUUGAUCGAAGCCCCGGUAAACGGCGGCCGUAACUAUAACGGUCCUAAGGUAGCGAAAUUCCUUGUCGGGUAAGUUCCGACCUGCACGAAUGGCGUAAUGAUGGCCAGGCUGUCUCCACCCGAGACUCAGUGAAAUUGAACUCGCUGUGAAGAUGCAGUGUACCCGCGGCAAGACGGAAAGACCCCGUGAACCUUUACUAUAGCUUGACACUGAACAUUGAGCCUUGAUGUGUAGGAUAGGUGGGAGGCUUUGAAGUGUGGACGCCAGUCUGCAUGGAGCCGGCCUUGAAAUACCACCCUUUAAUGUUUGAUGUUCUAACGUGGACCCGUGAUCCGGGUUGCGGACAGUGUCUGGUGGGUAGUUUGACUGGGGCGGUCUCCUCCUAAAGAGUAACGGAGGAGCACGAAGGUUGGCUAAUCCUGGUCGGACAUCAGGAGGUUAGUGCAAUGGCAUAAGCCAGCUUGACUGCGAGCGUGACGGCGCGAGCAGGUGCGAAAGCAGGUCAUAGUGAUCCGGUGGUUCUGAAUGGAAGGGCCAUCGCUCAACGGAUAAAAGGUACUCCGGGGAUAACAGGCUGAUACCGCCCAAGAGUUCAUAUCGACGGCGGUGUUUGGCACCUCGAUGUCGGCUCAUCACAUCCUGGGGCUGAAGUAGGUCCCAAGGGUAUGGCUGUUCGCCAUUUAAAGUGGUACGCGAGCUGGGUUUAGAACGUCGUGAGACAGUUCGGUCCCUAUCUGCCGUGGGCGCUGGAGAACUGAGGGGGGCUGCUCCUAGUACGAGAGGACCGGAGUGGACGCAUCACUGGUGUUCGGGUUGUCAUGCCAAUGGCACUGCCCGGUAGCUAAAUGCGGAAGAGAUAAGUGCUGAAAGCAUCUAAGCACGAAACUUGCCCCGAGAUGAGUUCUCCCUGACCCUUUAAGGGUCCUGAAGGAACGUUGAAGACGACGACGUUGAUAGGCCGGGUGUGUAAGCGCAGCGAUGCGUUGAGCUAACCGGUACUAAUGAACCGUGAGG
This 2577-nucleotide ribosomal RNA is filed under the name Shigella sonnei. RNAcentral describes it as "partial 23S ribosomal RNA". It matches the Rfam family "Bacterial large subunit ribosomal RNA", at positions 354 to 2915 of the family's 2925-position model. Lineage: Bacteria; Pseudomonadati; Pseudomonadota; Gammaproteobacteria; Enterobacterales; Enterobacteriaceae. The record is from RNAcentral.